Molecule: transfer RNA, 71 nt
Filed under: Solaster stimpsoni
Lineage: Eukaryota; Metazoa; Echinodermata; Asteroidea; Velatida; Solasteridae
Description: tRNA-Gln
Rfam family: tRNA
About the family: Transfer RNA (tRNA) molecules are approximately 80 nucleotides in length.
Source: RNAcentral
UAGAAAGUAGUAUAAUCGAAAUACAAAGGAUUUUGAUUUCUAAAAUAUAAGUUCAACUCUUAUCUUUCUAA